ACGAGGGCGGGACGCGCGGUCCCCGCAGAGGCCAGAGCUCAGCCUCCGGGAGAGGGUCUCCAGACGGCCGGAGCGAAGUAGCCAGAGUCUGCGUAUCCAAGAGCCGUCCUUCAGGCGAGGCGAGGCGAGGAGAGAACAGUACUGAGACGGAGGGAAAACGAAGCAGCAGUCACGGCCAGGAGGGAGCUCGAGGGCGCGGCGGCGGGACUCUGCGGGACGCUGAGAACUCCGGAGACCAGCGGUACCUAAGGUGAGUUUGAAAAGAGACUUGUAGUGAGGUGGUAUUCAAACGUCACAGGCAUCGAGGAGAAUGGCAGCCAGUAAGAGACACCACGUGAAGCUGAAGUUUUCUUUGUGAGAUGUUUCUGGGUCAGCCAAGCCACAUGUGAAAAUGAGCGGUUGGGAUAGAGGUAGGUUCUCUCUUGAUUAUGUGGCUUAGAGAAGGGCUCUCUAACUUCAGCAU
Molecule: long non-coding RNA, 463 nt
Filed under: Fukomys damarensis (Damara mole-rat)
Lineage: Eukaryota; Metazoa; Chordata; Mammalia; Rodentia; Bathyergidae
Description: lncRNA (ENSFDAG00000026609.1)
Source: RNAcentral